CCUAACACAUGCAAGUCGAGCGGUAGAGAGAAGCUUGCUUCUCUUGAGAGCGGCGGACGGGUGAGUAAUGCCUAGGAAUCUGCCUGGUAGUGGGGGAUAACGUUCGGAAACGGACGCUAAUACCGCAUACGUCCUACGGGAGAAAGCAGGGGACCUUCGGGCCUUGCGCUAUCAGAUGAGCCUAGGUCGGAUUAGCUAGUUGGUGAGGUAAUGGCUCACCAAGGCGACGAUCCGUAACUGGUCUGAGAGGAUGAUCAGUCACACUGGAACUGAGACACGGUCCAGACUCCUACGGGAGGCAGCAGUGGGGAAUAUUGGACAAUGGGCGAAAGCCUGAUCCAGCCAUGCCGCGUGUGUGAAGAAGGUCUUCGGAUUGUAAAGCACUUUAAGUUGGGAGGAAGGGCAGUUACCUAAUACGUGAUUGUUUUGACGUUACCGACAGAAUAAGCACCGGCUAACUCUGUGCCAGCAGCCGCGGUAAUACAGAGGGUGCAAGCGUUAAUCGGAAUUACUGGGCGUAAAGCGCGCGUAGGUGGUUUGUUAAGUUGGAUGUGAAAUCCCCGGGCUCAACCUGGGAACUGCAUUCAAAACUGACUGACUAGAGUAUGGUAGAGGGUGGUGGAAUUUCCUGUGUAGCGGUGAAAUGCGUAGAUAUAGGAAGGAACACCAGUGGCGAAGGCGACCACCUGGACUGAUACUCGCGCUGAGGUGCGAAAGCGUGGGGAGCAAAC
Molecule: ribosomal RNA, 731 nt
Filed under: uncultured bacterium
Lineage: Bacteria
Description: bacterial SSU rRNA
Rfam family: Bacterial small subunit ribosomal RNA
Source: RNAcentral